GUUGAAGAACGUAGCGAAAUGCGAUACUUGGUGUGAAUUGCAGAAUCCCGUGAACCAUCGAGUCUUUGAACGCAAGUUGCGCCCGAAGCCAUUAGGCCGAGGGCACGCCUGCCUGGGCGUCACACGUCGUUGCCCCCCCAUCUACUCCUUCGGGAUUGCGGGGGGCGGAUGAUGGCCUCCCGUGCGCCUCGUCGCGCGGUUGGCCUAAAUGCCAAGUCCUCGGCGACGCACGCCACGACAAUCGGUGGUUGCGAAACCUCGGUUGCCCGUCGUGUGCGGUCGUCGCGCAUCGAGGGCUCGAAAAAAUUGCCGGGCUUCGGCUCGACUUUCAACGCGACCCCAGGUCAGGCGGGGUUACCCGCUGAAUUUAAGCAUAUCAAUAAGCGGAGGA
RNAcentral lists this unclassified non-coding RNA (391 nucleotides) under soil metagenome. RNAcentral describes it as "partial contains 5.8S ribosomal RNA, internal transcribed spacer 2, and large subunit ribosomal RNA". The stretch from base 1 to 122 matches the Rfam family "5.8S ribosomal RNA", at positions 35 to 154 of the family's 154-position model. The record is from RNAcentral.